RNAcentral lists this transfer RNA (54 nucleotides) under Hammerschmidtiella sp. ZengetLiu-2016. RNAcentral describes it as "tRNA-Ser". The record is from RNAcentral. Lineage: Eukaryota; Metazoa; Nematoda; Chromadorea; Rhabditida; Thelastomatidae.
AAUAAAUUUUAAUAGGUCUUCUAAACUUAUAAGAAACUUCGUGUUUGUUUAUUG